CACAGAAGAAGCACCGGCUAACUCCGUGCCAGCAGCCGCGGUAAUACGGAGGGUGCGAGCGUUAAUCGGAAUUACUGGGCGUAAAGGGUGCGUAGGUGGUUUAUUAAGUUAUCUGUGAAAUCCCUGGGCUUAACCUGGGCAGGUCAGAUAAUACUGUUUGACUCGAGUAUGGGAGAGGGUAGUGGAAUUUCCGGUGUAGCGGUGAAAUGCGUAGAGAUCGGAAGGAACACCAGUGGCGAAGGCGGCUACCUGGCCUAAUACUGACACUGAGGCACGAAAGCGUGGGGAGCAAACAGGAUU
This 300-nucleotide ribosomal RNA is filed under the name uncultured Legionella sp. RNAcentral describes it as "bacterial SSU rRNA". It matches the Rfam family "Bacterial small subunit ribosomal RNA", at positions 480 to 779 of the family's 1533-position model. The record is from RNAcentral. Lineage: Bacteria; Pseudomonadati; Pseudomonadota; Gammaproteobacteria; Legionellales; Legionellaceae.